Lactuca sativa (garden lettuce) is the source of this 517-nucleotide long non-coding RNA. RefSeq lists it as uncharacterized. The record is from RefSeq and is a predicted model, not a curated record. NCBI's taxonomy places the organism in Eukaryota, Viridiplantae, Streptophyta, Magnoliopsida, Asterales, Asteraceae.
ACACUACUAGAAACAUGAGUUUUAGAGACGGAAGUAUCCGUCGCUAUUCCGUCGCUAAAUGUUGUUUGCGAUGGAUCAGCGACGGACUCACUCCAUAGGGUUCUCACCAGUUCUAAAGCCUAAUAAGAAUUCAAGAGAAGCAUACAGGAGUGUAAGGGUAAAAUGGUCAUUAGCGCACCAUGAUCUCAGUAGUAGCUCAGCAGACUCAGGAACAUAAGAAAAGAGUUUGGACAAAAGUUGGUCAUGGGCGAAGUUCCAGUAAUGCAAAUAAGAAGACUCAGCAUCAGAUAAAAGCUUCCAUGGAGAAUAUGGUAACGGAAGUCCAAACUUUGGUUCUCCCCAAUCUUAUACACAAUCAAGGCCACCAAAAGAUUCUGUGUGUCCCAUAACUAGCCAUAUCUUUAGUGAUCCAGUAACCCUAGCAACUGGUCAAACGUAUGAAAGAAAGGCCAUUGAAGAAUGGAUAAAGAGGGGGAACACAACAUGGCUCAUCACAAGACAACCUCUCUCAUCCUAU